GAAUAUUGGACAAUGGGCGAGAGCCUGAUCCAGCCAUGCCGCGUGCAGGAAGACUGCCCUAUGGGUUGUAAACUGCUUUUACAGAGGAAGAACCACCCCCACGUGCGGGGGUUUGACGGUACUCUGCGAAUAAGGAGCGGCUAACUCCGUGCCAGCAGCCUCGGUAAUACGGAGGAUCCAAGCGUUAUCCGGAAUCAUUGGGUUUAAAGGGUCCGUAGGCGGGCAGUUAAGUCAGUGGUGAAAGUCUUCCGCUCAACGGGAGAACUGCCAUUGAUACUGAUUGUCUUGAGUUAUUAUGAAGUGGUUAGAAUGAGUAGUGUAGCGGUGAAAUGCAUAGAUAUUACUCAGAAUACCGAUUGCGAAGGCAGAUCACUAAUAAUAUACUGACGCUGAUGGACGAAAGCGUAGGUAGCGAACAGG
Molecule: ribosomal RNA, 420 nt
Filed under: uncultured bacterium
Lineage: Bacteria
Description: bacterial SSU rRNA
Rfam family: Bacterial small subunit ribosomal RNA
Source: RNAcentral